AUCUGAAACUGCUGUUCUUGAGUGUCGGAGAGGAAAGUGGAAUUCCCAGUGUAGCGGUGAAAUGCGUAGAGAUUGGGAGGAACACCAGUGGUGAAGGCGGCUUUCUGGUCGACAACUGACGCUGAGGCGCGAAAGCGUGGGGAGCGAACAGGAUUAGAUACCCUGGUAGUCCACGCCGUAAACGAUGGAUACUAGGUGUAGGGGGUAUCGACCCCUUCUGUGCCGGAGUUAACACAAUAAGUAUCCCACCUGGGGAGUACGGCCGCAAGGUUGAAACUCAAAGGAAUUGACGGGGGUCCGCACAAGCAGUGGAGUAUGUGGUUUAAUUGGAAGCAACGCGAAGAACCUUACCAGGGCUUGACAUCCCCUGACCCCCUUGGAGACAAGGGUUCCCUUCGGGGCAGGGAGACAGCUGGUGCAUGGUUGUCGUCAGCUCGUGUCGUGAGAUGUUAGGUUAAGUCCCGCAACGAGCGCAACCCCUGUUGCCAGUUGCCAUCAUUAAGUUGGGCAUUCUGGCGAGCCUGCCGGUGACAAAUCGGAGGAAGGGGGGGACGACGUCAAAUCAUCAUGCCCUUUAUGUCGUGGGCCACACACGUACUACAAUGGCGGUUACAGAGGGGAAGCGAA
RNAcentral lists this ribosomal RNA (627 nucleotides) under uncultured organism. RNAcentral's name for it is "bacterial SSU rRNA". It matches the Rfam family "Bacterial small subunit ribosomal RNA", at positions 625 to 1253 of the family's 1533-position model. The record is from RNAcentral.